RNAcentral lists this ribosomal RNA (497 nucleotides) under uncultured bacterium. RNAcentral's name for it is "partial 16S ribosomal RNA". It matches the Rfam family "Bacterial small subunit ribosomal RNA", at positions 28 to 507 of the family's 1533-position model. The record is from RNAcentral.
GAUGAACGCUGGCGGCGUGCCUAAUACAUGCAAGUCGAGCGAACAGACGAGGAUCUUGCUCCUCUGACGUUAUCGGCGGACGGGUGAGUAACACGUGGAUAACCUACCUAUAAGACUGGGAUAACUUCGGGAAACCGGAGCUAAUACCGGAUAAUAUAUUGAACCGCAUGGUUCAAUAGUGAAAUACGGUUUUUCUGUCACUUAUAGAUGGAUCCGCCCCGCAUUAGCUAGUUGGUAAGGUAACGGCUUACCAAGGCAACGAUGCGUAGCCGACCUGAGGGGGAGAUCGGCCACACUGGAAGUGAGACACGGUCCAGACUCCUACGGGAGGCAGCGGUAGGGAAUCUUCCGCAAAGGGGGAAAGCCUGACGGAGCAACGCCGCGUGAGUGAUGAAGGUCUUCGGAUCGUAAAACUAUGUUAUUAGGGAAGAACAAAUGUGUAAGUAACUAUGCACGUAUUGACGGUACCUAAACAGAAAGCCACGGCUAACUACGUG